Molecule: transfer RNA, 61 nt
Filed under: Camelus ferus (Wild Bactrian camel)
Lineage: Eukaryota; Metazoa; Chordata; Mammalia; Artiodactyla; Camelidae
Rfam family: tRNA
About the family: Transfer RNA (tRNA) molecules are approximately 80 nucleotides in length. Their secondary structure includes four short double-helical elements and three loops (D, anti-codon, and T loops). Further hydrogen bonds mediate the characteristic L-shaped molecular structure. tRNAs have two regions of fundamental functional importance: the anti-codon, which is responsible for specific mRNA codon recognition, and the 3' end, to which the tRNAs corresponding amino acid is attached (by aminoacyl-tRNA synthetases). tRNAs cope with the degeneracy of the genetic code in two manners: having more than one tRNA (with a specific anti-codon) for a particular amino acid; and 'wobble' base-pairing, i.e. permitting non-standard base-pairing at the 3rd anti-codon position.
Source: Rfam by way of RNAcentral
AAGGGUAUAGCUCAGUGGUAGAGCAUGUGCAAGGUUCUGGGUUCAAUCCCCAGUACCUCCA